GAAGGAGAAGGAGAGGAGAAGGAGAAGGAGAAGAAGGAAAGAAGGAAGGAAGGAUUCGAUUUGGGGCUGCCUGCAUCCAGAGAUAAGCCAUUGACGCUCUGUGGAUGAUGUCUACAGUUGUAACUGUGAUAUUGAUGGUCUAGGGCAUGAUGUGGCUGAGGUUCUUUCCGAUAUCAUGGGCCCAGAGGUCAGUAUUGUAGUUAUGACUAUGGCUCUAACGGUCUAGGGCACGGUGGGCCUGGAGCCUAGUGGUCAGAGGAUGUACGUGGUAUGAUGUGCGAUAAGUGGUAAUGAUUGUAAAAUCGAUGGUCUGAGGCAUGGUUUGGCAGAGGUGCAUUUCCGAUACCGUUGGCUCAGAGAUGGUGGAACCGGUGCUGAGACAGGAUUGGACAUCAGCAACUGUUGUGAGGCUUGUGUCUAAGAGACACCAGGAUGCUUUCUUCUUUCUUGAUGUGUA
Macadamia integrifolia is the source of this 457-nucleotide long non-coding RNA. RefSeq lists it as uncharacterized. The transcript has 3 exons. Lineage: Eukaryota; Viridiplantae; Streptophyta; Magnoliopsida; Proteales; Proteaceae. The record is from RefSeq and is a predicted model, not a curated record.